GCGACGACCGGAGGCUGCGGCGGAGCCCCGGCGGGGCGUUUGGUUUCGGUUUGGCCCUGACUGGGAUUAGUGUUGACGAUCGAAAUGGGAGUCCCCAAGUUUUACCGAUGGAUCUCAGAGCGGUAUCCCUGUCUCAGCGAAGUGGUGAAAGAGCAUCAGGUGGAGUCUCGCUCUGUCGCCCAGGCUGGAGUGCAGCGGCACGAUCUCAGCUCACUGCAAGCUCCGCCUCCUGGGUUCACGCCAUUCUCCCGCCUCAGCCUCCCGGAGUCUUGCUCAGUUGCCCAGGCUGGAGUGCAGUGGCUCGAUCUCCGCUCACUGCAAGCUCCGCCUCCUGGGUUCACGCCAUUCUCCUGCCUCAGUCUCCCGAGUAGCUGAGACUACAGGCGCCUGCCACCAAGCCCAGCUAAUUUUUUUGUAUUUUUUUAGUAGAGACGGGGUUUCACCGUGUUAGCCAGGAUGGUCGCGAUGUCCUGACCUCGUGAUCCGCCCUCCUCGGCCUCUCAAAGUGCUGGGAUUACAGGCGUGAGCCACCGCGCCCGGCCAGAGAUGUUGACUUCUAAUUUGCAAACAUUUCCCUACGUUUUGUCAUUUUUAAUUGAAUUAUAUAUGGCGCUUUUUAACCCUAUAUAUGUAAAACAAUACA
Molecule: small RNA, 643 nt
Filed under: Pan troglodytes (chimpanzee)
Lineage: Eukaryota; Metazoa; Chordata; Mammalia; Primates; Hominidae
Description: processed transcript
Source: RNAcentral